RNAcentral lists this transfer RNA (91 nucleotides) under Solimonas sp. RNAcentral describes it as "tRNA-Ser". It matches the Rfam family "tRNA". From Rfam's summary of the family: Transfer RNA (tRNA) molecules are approximately 80 nucleotides in length. Their secondary structure includes four short double-helical elements and three loops (D, anti-codon, and T loops). RNAcentral also lists the same sequence under 3 other names. The record is from RNAcentral. Lineage: Bacteria; Pseudomonadati; Pseudomonadota; Gammaproteobacteria; Nevskiales; Nevskiaceae.
GGAGAGGUGGCAGAGUGGUUUAAUGUACCUGACUCGAAAUCAGGCGUACGUUCAUAGCGUACCGGGGGUUCGAAUCCCUCCCUCUCCGCCA